RNAcentral lists this long non-coding RNA (1622 nucleotides) under Olea europaea (common olive). Its description in RNAcentral is "long non-coding RNA (OEUR_LNC007193)". The record is from RNAcentral. Lineage: Eukaryota; Viridiplantae; Streptophyta; Magnoliopsida; Lamiales; Oleaceae.
AUAACCAACAUUAUGAAAGCGCUGCUGCCUUUUGGCCACAUGUUCAUGGACGCAUAAUAGCUAGCUUACUAAUAUCACAGCUGCUGCUAAUGGGCUUAUUGAGCACAAAAAAAGCUGCAAAUUCCACUCCUUUACUCGUUGUGUUACCUAUUUUGACUUUGACCUUCCACAAGUACUGCAAGAAUCGCUUUGAACCUGCAUUCAGAAGGUAUCCUCUUGAGGUGAGAUCCAGUGAAUAAUCGAUUAAGUUAUCAUUUUGUUCUGUUCUUACUAAGUUAGCUUAUCUUGGUUUUAUUUCUUAGUAGUUAAAUAUUAGAUCUGUUCAAUGUUGCCGCUGUUACAAUAGUCCAGGGAUUAGUCGAUCACAUGAAACUGCAGAAGUUCUCUUCCACGGACAUACACAUGUUUUUAUAUGAAAAUUUUGCCCACUCAGAAUUUUCAAUAUGUUUAUGGAGAGUAUUGAACAUUAGAAUGCUAUUGAAGUCUCUGAUGGCUAUGUUCUAACUAAAGUUUUCUUUUAGAAAAUGCUUUGAAUUGUCUCUUCUUCUGAUUGAUGUUCUUUUGAUCCUGAUUACUAAUUAUUUCUUUUGGCUAUUGAAACUCUUCAGGAGGUACCCAAGGAAAAUAUUUUCCUUAAAAACAAGGAAAAUUAGGCAUAUUUUCAAAAGUUGGAAAAUGUUUUUCAUGGAAAAAAAUAGCAAACAAACACUCCAAGUAGAAAUUUGGGUGAAAAACUGAUAUUUUACCUUUAAAAUAAGUUAUCCAAACAUAUUUGGAAACAAAAAGUUACUUAAAAUGGUAUCUUUUAAAUUUUGUUUAAGCUUCACUAAACAUGCUUGUACUAUUAUAAUUGUUUCAAAUAUAGCCUAUUGGCAAAUAUUUUGAAGGACAUGCAUAGGUAAAAUAUAUUGUCACUUUUGGCAUUGUAAUUGGUAUAAGUUAAGUAAAGCACGAUUUUUUAACUUGUGGUUUCGAUAGACAAUGGAUGUAAUAAAUUCCAAUCUGAGAUCUUUGAUGUUACCGCUCAUUCUCAUUCAGGUCAUUAAUGUAUAUAACCAACAUUAUGAAAGCGCUGCUGCCUUUUGGCCACAUGUUCAUGGACGCAUAAUAGCUAGCUUACUAAUAUCACAGCUGCUGCUAAUGGGCUUAUUGAGCACAAAAAAAGCUGCAAAUUCCACUCCUUUACUCGUUGUGUUACCUAUUUUGACUUUGACCUUCCACAAGUACUGCAAGAAUCGCUUUGAACCUGCAUUCAGAAGGUAUCCUCUUGAGGUGAGAUCCAGUGAAUAAUCGAUUAAGUUAUCAUUUUGUUCUGUUCUUACUAAGUUAGCUUAUCUUGGUUUUAUUUCUUAGUAGUUAAAUAUUAGAUCUGUUCAAUGUUGCCGCUGUUACAAUAGUCCAGGGAUUAGUCGAUCACAUGAAACUGCAGAAGUUCUCUUCCACGGACAUACACAUGUUUUUAUAUGAAAAUUUUGCCCACUCAGAAUUUUCAAUAUGUUUAUGGAGAGUAUUGAACAUUAGAAUGCUAUUGAAGUCUCUGAUGGCUAUGUUCUAACUAAAGUUUUCUUUUAGAAAAUGCUUUGAAUUGUCUCUUCUUCUGAUUGAUGUUCUUUUGAUCCUGA